RNAcentral lists this ribosomal RNA (447 nucleotides) under Anelosimus dubiosus. RNAcentral describes it as "partial 16S ribosomal RNA". The record is from RNAcentral. Lineage: Eukaryota; Metazoa; Arthropoda; Arachnida; Araneae; Theridiidae.
ACAUUUCUUAUUAAAUUUAAAUAAGUAAGACCUGCUCAAUGAUAAAAUUCAAUAGCCGCAAAUUUUAUGUGCUAAGGUAGCAUAAUCAUUUGUUUUUUAAUUAAAAACUAGAAUGAAAGGUUAUACAUUCAAAUUUCUUUAUUAAUUUUUUAUAAAAUAAUUUAUAUUAAAUAUAAAAAUAUAUUUUUAAAUAAAAAAGACGACAAGACCCUAUUAAAUUUAACUUAUAGUUUAGCUGGGGAAGCUUUUUAAAUAAAAUUUUAUUAAAAUAUUUUAAAAUAAUUUUUUAAUUAAAAUUAAAACAAAUUACUAUAGGGAUAACAGCGUUAUAUUUUUUAAAAGUUCUUAUUUAAAAAAAUGAUUGCGACCUCGAUGUUGAAUUAUAUUUUCUAUAUUAAUGCAAUAAUUAUAAAAGUAGAUCUGUUCGAUCUUUAAAAUAUUACAUGA